This 497-nucleotide ribosomal RNA is filed under the name uncultured bacterium. Its description in RNAcentral is "partial 16S ribosomal RNA". It matches the Rfam family "Bacterial small subunit ribosomal RNA", at positions 28 to 507 of the family's 1533-position model. The record is from RNAcentral.
GAUGAACGCUGGCGGCGUGCCUAAUACAUGCAAGUCGAGCGAACAGACGAGGAGCUUGCUCCUCUGACGUUAGCGGCGGACGGGUGAGUAACACGUGGAUAACCUACCUAUAAGACUGGGAUAACUUCGGGAAACCGGAGCUAAUACCGGAUAAUAUAUUGAACCGCAUGGUUCAAUAGUGAAAGACGGUUUUGCUGUCACUUAUAGAUGGAUCCGCGCCGCAUUAGCUAGUUGGUAAGGUAACGGCUUACCAAGGCAACGAUGCGUAGCCGACCUGAGAGGGUGAUCGGCGACACUGGAACUGAGACACGGUCCAGACUCCUACGGGAGGCAGCAGUAGGGAAUCUUCCGCAAUGGGCGAGAGCCUGACGGAGCAACGCCGCGUGAGUGAUGAAGGUCUUCGGAUCGUAAAACUCUGUUAUUAGGGAAGAACAAAUGUGUAAGUAACUAUGCACGUCUUGACGGUACCUAAUCAGAAAGCCACGGCUAAAUACGUG